This 254-nucleotide ribosomal RNA is filed under the name uncultured bacterium. RNAcentral's name for it is "partial 16S ribosomal RNA". It matches the Rfam family "Bacterial small subunit ribosomal RNA", at positions 524 to 776 of the family's 1533-position model. The record is from RNAcentral.
UACGUAGGGGACAAGCGUUGUCCGGAUUUAUUGGGCGUAAAGAGCUCGUAGGCGGCUCGGUAAGUCGGAUGUGAAACCUCCAGGCUCAACCUGGAGACGCCAUCUGAUACUGCCGUGGCUUGAGUCCGGUAGAGGAGCAGGGAAUUCCUGGUGUAGCGGUGAAAUGCGCAGAUAUCAGGAGGAACACCAGCGGCGAAGGCGCUGCUCUGGGCCGGUACUGACGCUGAGGAGCGAAAGCGUGGGGAGCGAACAGG